CCUACGGGUGACAGCAGUCGAGAAUCAUUCACAAUGGGGGAAACCCUGAUGGUGCGACGCCGCGUGGGGGAAUGAAGGUCUUCGGAUUGUAAACCCCUGUCAUGUGGGAGCAAAUUAAAAAGAUAGUACCACAAGAGGAAGAGACGGCUAACUCUGUGCCAGCAGCCGCGGUAAUACAGAGGUCUCAAGCGUUGUUCGGAAUCACUGGGCGUAAAGGGUGCGUAGGCUGUUUCGUAAGUCGUGUGUGAAAGGCGCGGGCUCAACCCGCGGACGGCACAUGAUACUGGGAGACUAGAGUAAUGGAGGGGGAACCGGAAUUCUCGGUGUAGCAGUGAAAUCCGUAGAUAGCGAGAGGAACACUCGUGGCGAAGGCGGGUUCCUGGACAUUAACUGACGCUGAGGCACGAAGGCCAGGGGAGCGAAAGGGAUUAGAUACCCUUGUAGUC
This 446-nucleotide ribosomal RNA is filed under the name uncultured bacterium. Its description in RNAcentral is "partial 16S ribosomal RNA". It matches the Rfam family "Bacterial small subunit ribosomal RNA", at positions 338 to 795 of the family's 1533-position model. The record is from RNAcentral.